GCCCUCUCAGGAUCUCACCUGAAGACUAUCCAGUACUCUACCAGUCUCGACUAAGGGAGGGAGAGUCGAGCAGAGGCAUACCCAUUCCAUUCCUAGCCUGGGCAGUGGCUAGCAAGGGGAAGGCAAUUUGCUACAAAU
Ornithorhynchus anatinus (platypus) is the source of this 138-nucleotide small nucleolar RNA. The record is from RefSeq and is a predicted model, not a curated record. NCBI's taxonomy places the organism in Eukaryota, Metazoa, Chordata, Mammalia, Monotremata, Ornithorhynchidae.